Molecule: long non-coding RNA, 26164 nt
Filed under: Populus trichocarpa (black cottonwood)
Lineage: Eukaryota; Viridiplantae; Streptophyta; Magnoliopsida; Malpighiales; Salicaceae
Description: long non-coding RNA (PTRI_LNC002313)
Source: RNAcentral
GUGCAAAAUGAUGUCAAGCAAGAUUUCUCUUGCUUUCUUUACUCUUAUAACCUUAUCCCUAAUCCUUCCCUCUCGUGCCCAAGACAACCCACAAGAUUACCUCGAUGCUCAUAAUGCAGCUCGUGCAGCUGUAGGUGUUGGUCCACUAACCUGGGACAACACGGUGCAAGCCUAUGCACAAGCUUAUGCUAGCCAACGUGCCGGCGAUUGCAACCUUGUUCUUUCAGGUGGACCUUAUGGGGAGAUCCUUCAAUGGAGCAGCGCGGACCUUUCAGGUACAGAUGCUGUAAAAUUGUGGGUUGAUGAGAAGGCUUUCUACGACUACAACUCCAACUCAUGUGCCUCUGGCCAGCAGUGUGUGUCCUAUACUCAAGUGGUUUGGGGUAACUCUGUUAGCCUAGGAUGUGCGAAAGUGACUUGUAGCGCUGGAGGAACCUUCAUUGUGUGCAACUAUGAUCCACCCGGCAACGUUGUUGGGCAAAAACCUUACUAAACCUUUCUGAUUAUGAAAUCAGUGCUUCUAUUACCUGGAAUAAUAAUGAUAAAUAAGCUGAUUUAUAUUGGCAUUAAUUAAUAAAUGAUAGAAAAAUAUUUGCUACAUCUUGAUGAUAUGCUGGCAUACAGGAAGUUCACGUGGUAUACGUUUGGAUGGUUUUUUUUUUUAUAAUUAUGUUCAUAUAAUUUUAAUUACAGUCAGAAUGAUCACAACUUAUGUACUGUUAUAGCAUCCACUUUCAAUUCAAAUUAUUAUUAAGUUGAACUAAAAUUGGAUGUUUUAGAAAGUGAAAAUUAAUCAUGCAUAACGCUCAUAUGCAUACUAGCAGAUUACCCUCCGUUUUGUUGCUUUUAUAUAUAUAUAUAUAUAUAUAUAUAAUAAGAUGAAUAAAAUCAGAUAUGCAUACAAAAAUGAUUGAGAAUUUGAUAACUUUACUAUUAUAUGUGAAUUCACAGUUUGCUUUGUGCCCAUGAUUAAGAAGAACAAAGAAAAAAAAACGAAGGAAAGAAGUACCUCUGUGCCUGGAAUGGAGACGGCUAUAUAGGUUACAAUUAGUCAUUUGCGUUCAUGUCUCCCUGGCCCAGAUUUCUGCCGAUGAUUUUGUUAAAGCCCUUAACGAGAUUCGUGUACAGGUUGAGGAUGUCCCGAUUUCUUGGAACGAAACAUUGGCAGCCGAAGCAAGGAAACUUGCUAUACCAAGGAUCUCCUGCUGCAAUUUAAUCGAAGACAUGUUCACUGAAGGCCUCUUAUCCUUUGACUGCGUCUGAAGCUGUUGGGUUGUGGUGCCAGCGAGAAACCUUCCUAAAAUUAUUUUGCCUAGUGAAAAAUUUUACAUGAAUAUUUUGUUUUUGAAAUUGGAUGUCAAAUAUUCAAAGCAAGCUAUCUAAUGCAUAAAUUUGUGAGAGAUUUUCACUGUAUAUUUUUUAUUGCACAGUUGUUUUUUAGUUUAGUCCUCAAACUUUGUUUUUCUCAAUCAUGUUUUAUUUAAGGAGCAAUUAAUUUUAAAUUCUUAUAAAAUGAUGGGAUUGGAAGAGGGGGGACUAAAAUUAAAAACACGGCAAACAUAGGUGACGUAUCAUAAAUUUAAAAAACAUUCACUUUGGUCCUCCAAACUUAAAUAAUCACGCAAAUUAUACAAUUACAGUUCCUCGAAAUUGUUCCAAUUUCAUUUUGUUACAGAGAUUUAUUUUGGUUAUUUUUUAGUCCCUAGUUGAGAGAGGAGUCACCGGAUCCCGACAAUAGAGAGAGAAACUUGUCGUUGGCACCGAUUUAGACCACUAAAAUAAAAUAUUUUUGUGUCAAAUUGUUUCAUUUGAUGCAGAACGUUCAUAUUAGGUGUUUGUGUAACUUAAAAGUUCUUGAAAAAACAGAUCUAAGUUCGGGUUUAUUUUUUGUUUCGGGUUGAGUUCGGUUUUUGGGGCGGUUUUUUGUGUUUUUUUAAGGACAUGAAUGGGUUUGUCAUGAUUUCUAGGGUGUUUUGGGUCGAAAGAAUGUUGUCAAACAUGUUUUGAGUCUAAAGAGCAUAGACCCUGAUUUUCCAGCCAAUACAAUAGCUGAAAUCUGGGCAAAAUAGGCAACACAUCAUUUGUUGCUAGUAUGAGUGUCAUACCCAAAACGCUUGGGUCUAACAUGGUUUUCUUUUCAAAAUAGCAUGACAGAUUUGAGCACUCUAUUCAGUGAUUAUAUAAAUGUGAUAUAGGUCUUCUUUGUAAAAUACUCUUCGAGACCAUGUAUUGUUAACAAAACAUUGAAUUCCUGUCGUGAUGAUCAAAAGUAUGCAAAUUCAAGGGUUGAAAACUGUGAAUUAGAGCAUUCAGGAGGACCCUAUGGUGAGAACAUUGCUGAAGGUGGUCCAAUGCUCACUCUUUCAGAAUUAAUAAUAUGUGGUCUCCUCCUACAGAUUUGAUCAGAUCGGCAGAUGGCCUAUUUCGGUGGUCCAAUGCUCACUCUUUCAGAAUUAAUAAUAUGUGGUCUCCUCCUAUGAUUAAUAGCCUCAAAUGGAACGUGGAUGGCUAUUCUCUUGGUAAGUCAGGCCCCUCUAGAAUAGGUGGUGUGCUGCGAAAUCACCAUGGCCAUCUUCUCGGUAGGUUCUCUGUUCCAGUUGGGAUUUUAGACUCUAAUAUUGCUGAGUUAAGGGCUAUUGUCAAAGUCAUUGAACUAUCAACAUCUAAUUGUCUCCUCCACCAUCAACAUCUCAUCAUAGAAUCUGACUCUGCCAAUGUUAUUAGCUGGAUGUAUAAGCCUCACAUCCGUCCCUGGAAGCAUCACAAUCUUUUCUCCUUUGUCAAUAGACUGAAUGCAUUUUUUGGCUCAAUCACCUUCUCUCAUAUCUUUCGUGAAAGUAAUUGCCUGGCAACUCUGCCAAUGUUAUUAGCUAGAUGCAUAAGCCUCACAUCCGUCCCUGGAAGAAUCACAAUCUUUUCUCUUCUGUCAAUAAACUGAAUGCAUUUUUUGGCUCAAUCACCUUCUCCCAUAUCUUUCGUGAAAGUAAUUGCAUGGCUAAACAAGGAGUGCGGAGUUCAAGUGAAUUUGUUGCCUGGUUUUGACUCUACCAUUAAUAUUGUGGCCUUGCUUAUAUGUCUUCUGCUGUUAUGCUGUUGAGUUUAUUUGUGUUCUGUUUUGUAGAGGAAUGCUUAGCUAUGAGUUCAUUCGGAUGGAUAUUCUCUGGUUUUCUUUGCUUUUACUUAUCUUAUACUGUGUUUUAUCUUUUUUAUGGUCUUUUUCAUAUGAAAAUAUUGUGCAGCUUCUGUACUAAUCUCGCCAGACUUUGGCGUUUAAAUGAUAUAAAUAUCUUUCAAAAAAAAAAAAAAAAGAACAUUGCUGAAGGUUAUGGUAACUUGAAUGGAGUGGAUGUAGUCAAAAUGUGAGCAAGUGAGAAGCCUUUCUAUAGCCAUGAUACCAACUCAUGUGUCGGUGACGAGUGCCUGCAUUACACUCAGGUUGUGUGGCGCAAAUCGGUUCAUUUAGGGUGUGGCAGAGCUAAGUGCAAGAAUGGGUGGUGGUUUGUCACUUGCAAUUAUGAUCCUGUUGGAAACUUUGAGGGUCAAAGCCCGUAUUGAAUUAUGUUGCUUGGAGUUCUAGCUAGUAGUCAGCCACACAAAAAUAAAAUAUAUAAUUAAGAAGAUAAUGAAAUAUUUUCUAUUGAAGGAUUUGUUUGCAUAAUUAUAAUAUUUAGGACCAAAAUCUACUUGUAUGUUUGUGUUUAAAGAAAAGGGUGAUGCUAUGGGUAUUAAAUUUUUUUUACUAUGCGUUUUGAUGUUUUUUCAUGCUAAAUUCACUCCUAAAAAUACGGUUUUAAUUGCAAAAACAAACAGCUAGCCUCUUAUAAAUCUUAUUUACUAUGAUGUAAGAUCUGCAUAUUAAUUUGUCAUCAGUUGUAACAAAGUGAUCAUUCUGGUCUCAAUUGGAGAGAAAAAAAGGGUCAUCGAUGUCCUCAAAUUUAACCAAUAUAAACUCAGUUGGCAAUGGAAUUAAUAAUGUAGGCAACUGAGCUGGCAUAAAAUAUUCAAAACCAUGAUUUGGAUUUGAUUAUGAUAUUAUUCGAAGAAUUAAUGGAAACUAAUUAACCAAUAAGGAAGACAUCAGAUAUGUAAUAUUGCUCUCUGGUUUCAUAUGCUACUCGUAAUAAUUCUUCCAUAUAUUAAGCCUCGCAAUUCCUUCCAUUUCUGGCAUUUAAAGAUUUCUGUAUAUUAUGGCAUUUAAUUACUUACCAUAUGCAGGUAAAUUAGAAAUCAACUGUCGGGUAGUAAAUUUGAAAAGUUAUCAAAUGAAUUUUAACCUUUUACCAUUCAUUUAAUGUGAGAAAUUAAAACAAACAAACAAUUCAAUGAAUCAACAAAUUGGUCUAUGUAUAUACAGCAGCAGCAGCAUUAAUUUCUCCAAAUUUGUUCUGUCCAAGGAAUGAAGUUUACGAGGUCAUCUCUGAUAUAACUACGACACAAAUGCCUGUGUUAAUAGAAAUUGCGACCACUACACUCAGGUUGUUUGGAACGAGUGACUGUUGGAUGUACAAAGGCUCGGUGCAGAACUGGGUACUGGUUUAUCUCCUGCAGCUAUUAUCCUGAGAGAAAUACCCCAACAAGACGCCCAUAGAUAAAACACUAACUGAUUCGAAAUUUAUCUCUUGCAGCUAUUGUCCUGCGCUGCACUGUUCAUACCCUCACAUAUUAUUAUGAAUUCCUGUCUGUUUAUUUUUUUAGUUUGGUCAUUAAAUUUUUAUUUUGAGUGAUUUAAUCCCAAUUGAAAGCCAAUUACUUCUGAUUUCUUAAACAAAUGUAAAAUUGGAAGAAGGACCGUGGAGAAAAAAGAGCGCAAGAUGGGUGACAUGUCCAGAGUUUGUGUGAAAAGUACACUUUGAUCCUUUUACUUUACAAAUAAUAUAAUUUUGGUCCCUUUAAAUUUUAAAAAUUCAAUGUGGUCCAAAACUUCAUUUUUUGUUUAUUUUGUAGUUCCUCAGAGAAGGAAUCGCUAGAUUCCAACAAUAAAGAAAGAAAGUUAUCAUCGAUACUGAUUUGAACCAUAAAAAUAACCAAAUUUAGUUUUAACGAGUUCUAUUUGAUAAGGAAAGUUUAACUUGGAUAUUAUUUUACCCUAACAUCUAACAUCAUUUGUAUUUUGAGUUGAUUUUUUAUUUUUGAAUCAAUUUUAGACUUUUUAAAAGUAUAAAUAUGUUUAUUUAGGUUCGGUUAAUUUAGGUGAAAUUAAAGAGUAGAAUGUGAUGUUGAGGUUUGGAUCGAAAACUGGGGGGGUUGUGCAGGGUGUUAUGCUUUGGGCACAUCCCGGAUAUACUUGGAAAACCCCGGGGAAAAAAAUUUGGAAACCCCCCUAAACAACAUGGGAUCCCUCCCUAGAACGGGGCACUGGAAUUUUUUUUUUCCAUGGGUAUUUCGGUCCAAAACUUAAACCUUUUCUUUUAGGGAUUAAAACCCCCCCCCCCCCCCCCCCCACCAUUCUCGCAAUUCAACUAAUAUCUAUCCAAAAGUCUCCUCACUAUCAUCAUCAUUAUUAUUAUAAUUACCCCUAUUCUUCCUCCUAUGAUAUUUAUCACAGGUAAACAAUUCUUCAUCUUCACAUACUUUGAACAACGAGUGUGCACUCACAUGCACUCCACAAAGAUAUGUACCACUUGUACUACGAAGUACAAACCUAUCAAUAACUUGGAACAUCUUAUUGGUUAUUUUUUAUUUAUUUAAAAAAAACCGCACAAAAAAAGAGAAAAUAAAAUUCUUUAUCCAUAAAAAAAAAUGAUAAAAACAUCUUCAUGCAUCUAAGAUUUAAUUCUCCACUUAUAUUUUUUUUUCUAAAGUGAACUCUAAAAAUAACUACUCUCUAAAUACUAUAAAUUUUUUUUGAGGAACUUUAAAAAGAUUAUUUGAUCAGUUUUUGCUCAAUUCUAGCUAGCAUGUUCCGCAAUUGACGAUUAGCUAGGGAGACAUAGUGUUUUUUUCACAGACUAUCCGUGUGCAUCACUUUACACGAAAAAUUAAAAAAAGAAUAAUCAAGAGUCUAAGUCGUGGAUUAAAAAAAGUGUCUGCUCAUCUUUUUGAAGUUAUCUAGAUAUAGAAUCAAUUUAAAAAUAAGUUUUUUUCAAAUAAAAAACUUAUCCAGUGUCUGCUCAUCUUUUUUGAAGUUUUCUAUACUAAUUCUGGUUUUGCAACUCUGCAUUAUUAAGUUGUAAAUUCUAUCAAUCACUCAACAAUUUGAAAAAAUAAAAUGUUAUUGUUAUCAUUAAAAAAAAGCAUUUUAAGUUUUUUUUAAAAAUUAAUAACCAACUUGCUGUUUGUAUUAGAAUAAUAGUACCAAUUAUUGUACUGCUAAGCAAAUCUAGCUAUCAAUAAAAGGAAAACCUCGAGGAUUAGGAUUAGGAAGCAAAUCAAGCAACUGUAGCUAUUAAAAAGAAGAGAAUCUGGAGGAAGAUUAGAAAGCAAAUCAAGUAACUGUAGCUAUCAACAAGAGAAAAAGCUGGAGAAAGAUUAGGAAGAUCAAUUGAUCUGAUUUACCUCAUGUCUUCUGCUGAAUUUCAAAUGUUGAUAAGAUUUUUUGUUAAGAUUAUUAUGUUGUACCAAAACUCUAUAAAAAGUAACCUUGUAUCUGUAACAUUCAAGUGAGAAAAAUACAUUUUCUACUUCAUUGUUUUCUUUGAGUUUACAAUUAUAAUAAAAAAUAUUCAAAUUAUUUUAUUUAAUGUGGAGAGUUCAUAUUAAGUGUUUUUAUACCUUAAAAGUUCUUGAAAAAACAAAUUUUAAUUUUAAUUAAGAAUAUCCAUGCAUCUGAAUUUUGUAUCUUUAUACUCUUAUAACUAAUAUUUAUUAGUGAGACGUAAUCUUUUAUAUGCUUUUUAAGAAUUUUUCAUUCUUAUAUGUGCUCUUAUAUAAAUAUUGUUUUCUAAUAUAUAUAUAUAUAUAUAUAUAUAUAUAUAUAUAUAUAUAUAUAUAUAUAUUUCAUCUUUAGCACUAAAAUAUCUUUCAAACUAUAUGUAAAAAAAAUUUGAAGGAUUUUAAAAAGAUUAUUUGAUCAGUUUUUGCUCGAUUCUAGCAUGUUCCGCAAUUGACGAUUAGCCAAGGGGGGUAUAGUGUUUUUUUUUACAGACUAUCCGGGUGCAUCACUUUACACGAAAAAGAAGCAGAAUAGUCAAGAGACUAAGUCGUCCAUUUCAAAAAAAAUAAUCAAGUACUGUCUGCUUCUGACUAAAGGAUCUUUUUGAAGUUAUCUGGAUUUAGAAUCAAUUUUAAAAUAAUUUUUUUCUACACUAAUUCUGGUAUUGCAACUCGGCAUUAUAUUAAUUUGGAAAUUCUAUCAAUCACUCAACAAUUUGAAAAAAAAAAAAAGUGUAUAGAAAGCACGGGUUUGUUAUCAUAAAAUUAAAAAAAAGGCAUUUUAACUAUUUCUUUUUUUAAUUAAUAACCAACUUGCUGUUAUAAUUAUUUUCACCUUACAUAUAAGCUUUUUUAAUUGCCAACACAUGCUUGACCUCAAAAAAAAACAAAAACCUUCACUUUUUUUUCUGUCUUUUGGGGUCUUGACUCAUGGUCAUGAGAUAAAACACGUUCGGAUAUUCUCGAAUAUGCUAACUUUUGAUGGGUAUGUUACACGCUCUUCUUCUCUUAAUUUUAUGAGAGCUAAUAUAUAUUUUCGAAUAAAUUCGGCAAAUAAAGAUUGAAUUAUUUUUGUCAUUCUGCUAAGGUCAGUUAUUGCUAAAACUUUAAGAUUUAUGAGAGCUUUAACAUCCCAAAAGGAGAUCUAUCCCUAAAAAUCAGGCUAAUAUUCCCUCGUAUUCAUGUUAAUCCAUUUUGUAUAUCAUGCAUGGUUUGUACUUUGUAGGUUUAAAAGAAUAUUUUUUAAAAAGAAAUUCUUUGAAUGAUUACAUGUCACUAGGAAAUCAAUUAGUUGUUCGGUAAUUUUCUUUGAAUGAUUCCACCAAUAGCAUGUCCUUCCUAGAAUAUAAGGCAACAGACAAAAAUCUAAGAGCUUAUUAGGCUUUUCAUCUUAAAAAAAAUUGAAAAUAUUAAUUUGAUGAUCUAGGAGAUUUGUUUUUUUUCAUAUAUUUUUUGAAUUCAAACCUUAGGUUCAAUAUUUACAAAGAUUUAUAAAUUUAUCAGCAUACAUCGUACCGAUAAUAUUUUUUAUUAAAAUUUUCUUUAAGAAAACAUUACUUUUAUGUUAUCCUUUUCAUUAAAUAAAAAAAUAUUAUAAUAUUAUUAAGAUAACUACACAAAAAAAAUAUUAGACUGAAGUAUUUUUUGAUAUUUUAUUAGAUUAGCGUGUUUUAAGCAAUUUAGAUUUGGUUUACUACAAUGUACACAUAUCUUAGAGUUGACAUGCAUGUUCGAUAUAUUUCAUAUUUGAUAGAAUCAUUUAAGAAGAUAUUUAUAUAUAAAUAUCUUAAUAGAAAGUUCACUCAUCAUCAAACAUUUUCAUCCAAUUAAUGUGAAGCAGCCAACAACAUCGACUUUUCCAAGGGACUUGCUUUGGAUCGAGUCUAGUUCCUUUGAUCAUUUAACGCUAUUGUUUUGAACAUUCUACGCAGACUUCGCUUGCAUGCUUCUAAGUCAUCGUUCACAUAAUUUUGCAUAACGCCUAUAAAUACCGUUCGAGCUCUCAUUGUUAUUUCAUCCAUCACCUACGAAAUUCAUUUGCUUUAUCAGAAAAGAAAAGGUGUUCAAAAUGAUGUCAAGCAAGAUUUCUCUUGCUUUCUUUACUCUUAUAACCUUAUCCCUAAUCCUUCCCUCUCGUGCCCAAGACAACCCACAAGAUUACCUUGAUGCUCAUAAUACAGCUCGUGCAGCUGUAGGUGUUGGUCCACUAACCUGGGACACCACAGUGCAAGCCUAUGCACAAAAUUAUGCUAACCAACGUGCCGGCGAUUGCAACCUUGUCCAUUCAGGUGGACCUUAUGGGGAGAACAUUGCAUGGAGCAGCGCGGACCUUUCAGGUACAGAUGCUGUAAAAAUGUGGGUUGAUGAGAUGGCUUACUACGACUACAACUCCAACUCAUGUGCCUCUGGCCAGCAGUGUGGGCACUAUACUCAGGUGGUUUGGGGUAACUCUGUUAGCCUAGGAUGUGCGAAAGUGACUUGUAGCGCUGGAGGAACCUUCAUUGUGUGCAACUAUGAUCCACCCGGCAACGUUGUUGGGCAAAAACCUUACUAAACCUUUCUGAUUAUGAAAUCAGUGCUUCUAUUACCUGGAAUAAUAAUGAUAAAUAAGCUGAUUUAUAUUGGCAUUAAUUAAUAAAUGAUAGAAAAAUAUUUGCUACAUCUUGAUGAUAUGCUGGCAUACAGGAAGUUCGCGUGGUAUACGUUUGGAUGGUUUUUUUUAUAUAUAUAAUUAUGUUCAUAUAAUUUUAAUUACAGUCAGAAUGAUCACAUCUUAUGUGUUAUAGCAUCCACUUUCAAUUCAAAUUAUUAUUAAGUUGAACUAAAAUUGGAUGUUUUAGAAAGUGAAAAUUAAUCAUGCAUAACGCUCAUAUGCAUACUAGCAGAUUAGUUGCUUUUAUAUAUAUAUAUAUAUAUAUAUAUAUAUAUAUAUAUAUAUAUAUAUAUGAUAACAGUUUUUAUUUUAAAAUAAUACAUACACAAUUAAUCAUACUUAACUUAUAUCGAAGAAUAAGAUAAUGAAAUACUAGCUAGAAUUGAGCACCUGAUUUUGCUAAUUUGAUAUAUUCUAUAGUGAUAAAUAAUUGGUGUUAUAAUAGAAUUCGAUUGAGGUUAAAAGCUUUGUCUACGAAGAUAUUCAAAUUAAUAUUGAUAUAUUAAAAAGAAUUAAUACCUGAUUUUAUUAUUUGGAUAUGUUUUUAUUAUGAAAGAAUAUUCCUAGAGCUUAUCACAAAGAUCGAUUGGGCCAGAGUAUAAUUACAACUCCAAUUCAUGUGUUGGGAAAUAAAAAAUAAUUCAUUAAUUAGCGAUUGUUUGUCUCUCGUUGUCUUGGCUGUAAUAAUCCCUUUAGCUAGCUCAAGCUCAAAACUACUCUAAACAAGACUUCCUCAAUGCUCACAACAACGCUCGAGCACAGCUGGGUGUUGGACCUUUGGGAUGGAAUUAAAAUUAGCAAAAUUUGAAAAACCAUGAAAGUAAAAAAAAAUAAUAAUCUUGAAACAUAAAAUAUUAAAUCAUACCAGUCGCUAACAAAUUACUAAUCAGCUGAUCAUAGCACUAGUGUUAUUUAAUGAUACAAUUCAAUACAUGCAAAUCAAUAUUAAUACCUUAAAAAUAAUUAGAAAAAUAAUAUUAAUGGAUAUAUGAUAUUUUUUUCUCUAAUUUAUUAGGAUAUGAUUUUUUGAGGUAUUACAAUAAAUUUAAAGAGAAUUCAAAAAUACAUGUAAAAAAUUAUGGGUUGAGUCGAAUACGUACUUGGACGGAUAAAGAGACCAUUCAUCCUAUUUGACCCGACUUGACCGGGUGUGGAUCCAAUGUAAAUGAUGGUUAUAGGAAUACCGAGUUGGAUGCAGGUGCAAAACAACUCGACUCUCAACUCGACUCGGUCCAUUACCAUCCUAUUGGUUCUCUGCUUUUCCUGUCAUCAUCCAUUGGGUUAGUAGGUGCAAUCCAAGAUGCUACCUCAGUAAGAAUAGACUUAACUAUUCUUACACAUAUAAAUAUAUUUUAAAUAUAUUAUUAUAUGGAUUUAUCCAUCAUCUAAGAUUACAGAUCAGACUUAAUUUUUUACAUAUCAUUUUAUAGAAGCAUUAUUAAAAAUUUAUUUACAAUGAUGAAUUAAUAACUAUAUGUUAACAAAAUUCGCAUUCUAAAUUCAAAAAUACAAUUAGUUUGGUUCAUAAUCUUUUAUAUAUAUUAUUCUCAAUUAAGCUCGUUGGUAUUUUGAUCCUUUCUCUCUCCACACACACGUAUAGAGUAAUUUUCUCUCCCUCCCUGAUUUCCCUUUCUUUUCUUUCUUUUCUUUCUUCUUCUUCUUUUCCUUUGGAUACGAUGAGGUUUUUAUUUAAGCGGUCUACAAAAAUGGAGUUUUUAUAUUUAAUUUUUUCAGAUAUCGAUGCCAUAUAAUUAAUUUGUUAGUUAAGGUAAUUCACAUCUUAUGCCAUCUCUUGCGGUAACCAUUCAUUUAGAACAAAAUAUAUUAAGGAGAGCUGUUUUUUAAAGUAUAUUUUAUUUAUAAAUAUAUUAAAAUAAUAUUUUUUUAUAGUUUUUUAAUAAUUAUUUUUUAUAUCAGCAUAUCAAAAUAAUUAAAAACUAUAAAAAAAUUAAUUUUAAAUAAAAAAAUGAUUUCAAUUAAAAAAAAAACUCAAUUUGAAAUGCAAUUCUAAACAACAUAAGGGCCAUUUUUAGAAAAAUAAGUUGGCAUGGUGUAUUCAAAAUGAAGAUCAGAUAUCUUUCUUAAUAGACACUUUUAAUGAUGAUUUUAUAUAUUAAUAAUUUAAUCCAAAUCUACUUCCCAAAUUGGUGUCUCGAAAAUUGUUGCAUCGUAUGGGGUGGAUUCCCCUCGCACAGAGAACUCGCUCAUCCAAUGCUAAUAAUAAUAAUAAUAAUAAUAAUAAAACUCUUGGGAAAUUGACUGGCAAAUAUGGAUCUCCGCUUUUGGAAAAACUAAAAACUAGUUGUGUUACGUAAAUAAGAAUAAAUAAAAGACUAAUGCACUCAGUGUAUUAAAUAAAUCAAUAGCAAGCCUUUAAAUAGGCUGUACAGUAGCAAGGAAAUAGGAACAGAAUAAUAAUAAAAUCUCCACUAUCUAAAACGUGGAUGGAACUCCUAUAGAAUAGGUCUUUCAUUACUUAUUCCAGAUAAACUCAAAAGCAUAAUCAACAUAACUUAUUUUAACACCUUUCCUUAAACUAAUAUCUGUAGAUAGGAAUUAACAGCUGCUACUCCUUCUCUAAUGACAUCUUUUGAAGAGCACAGUCCAAGGAGAUUUCGAAGCUUGACAAAAAUUGCAGGCUUAAGAGGCUUAGUUAAUAUAUCUACAAUCUGAUCUUCACUCUUGCAGAACACCAGAUUAAUAACACCUUCCUUACAUAGAUCACGUAGGAAGUGAAACCUGACAUCAAUGUGUUUGUUUCUCCCAUGAAAUACUGGAUUCUUUGAAAGCUUUAUGGUGGACAUGUUAUCACAAUAGAUUAAGGUUGGACCUUGGUGCUGGUUGUUUUGUAAGAACUCAAGUAAUCUGCGUAACCAGAUUGCUUGACUUGAAGUUGAUGCUGCAACAACAAAUUCAGCUUCAGUGGUUGAUAAAGCUACUAUCUGUUGUUUUUUCGAAGACCAUGAAACAACUCCAGAAUUCAACAUGAACACCAAUCCGGAAGUACUUUUUAUCAUCCAUGCAUCUGAAUUUUGUAUCUUUAUACUCUUAUAACUAAUAUUUAUUAGUGAGACGUAAUCUUUUAUAUGCUUUUUAAGAAUUUUUCAUUCUUAUAUGUGUUCUUGUAUAUAAAUAUUUUUUUCUCGUGUGUGUGUGUGUAUAUAUAUAUAUAUAUAGCACUAAAAUAUCUUUCAAACUAUAUAUAUAUUUUUUUCUAACACUUAAAAAACAUCAAUGAUAAAAAAACUUAACAAAAUUUAAAAAAUCAAUAAAAUAGAGAAAAAAAAACUAGAAACCUAUUGUAACAUCUCAAGAAACUAAAAUAAAUCAUGAAAAUAUAUAUACAAAACACGUAGGGAACUAAGAUAAGAUUCAUUGUCAAAUUUAAUAAUUUUAUGUAUGAAAAGUUUUGUUGGUGUUUAUACUUACAGUUUUAUAUUGAAGAAUUCUAUCAAUGUUUCAAUUUAUAUUUAUCAAUUUUGUAGCCGUGGUUGUUUGUAGAAUACAAGACGAACAAGAUAUGUACUAAUUGAAAUACAAAGUACUAACCUAUCAAUAAGAAAUUUUGUAAGCUAGUUGCAUUUUAUUAAUUACUUCCAGAUUUAUUUUGAAAAAAAAAACAACAUAAGAAAACGAGAAAAUAAAAUUUAUUAUUAAAAUUUUUUUUGAUAAAAACAUCUAGAUUUCUUUCUCCGCUUAUACUUUUUUAUAAUUUUAAAAUGAAUCCUAAAAAGUAACUACUCUAAUUACUAAAAAAAAAUUUGAAGGAUUUUAGAAAGAUUAUUUGAUCAGUUUUUGCUCGAUUCUAGCAUGUUCCGCAAUUGACGAUGAGCCAAGGGAGGUAUAGUGUUUUUUUUACAGACUAUCCGGGUGCAUAACUUUACACGAAAAAGAAACAGAAUAGUCAAGAGUCUAAGACUAUGUUUGGUAACGAGGAUGCAACCUGUUUGGUAAAGAAAAAUAAAUAAUUUACAGUGUAUGGACCCUACAUGUUUUUACGUCUGAGACGCAGGAAAAAAAAAAGCAGCAAAAUGCUGCUUUUUACUCACUGCUCAUACUAAUUGCACUGUUCACUAAACAGUGCAAUUAUCAUGAACAAUGUACAUUGAUACACUGUUCACGUGAACAGUGCAAGAUAAUUGCAUUGUUCACUUAAAAAACAAUGAACAGUGCAAUUCACUUGCACUGUUCACGUGAACAGUUUUUUUCAGUGUGUUAAUUUUUUUAACAGUUUUUUUUUUAAAAAUAAAACUAGUUUAGAGUGAAUUAAAUUCACUCACACUGUGAUGUGAACAAUAUUUUUUUUCCCGAAAAACUAGUAUAUAGUGAAUUAAAUUCACUCGCACUGUAAUAUCAAUUUUAUAUCUGAUAAUGUUUUAUCUAAUUUUAUUACACUCUCAAAAAAUUAUGAAAACUGUAGUUCUUAUCGGAUGAAUUUUGUACGUAAUGGAAUUAUAAAUAGUUUAAUGAAAUAAUAAAAAAUAUUUUACAUAAAAUAUUAUUUAUUUCAUGAUGUAAUAGGAGUAAUUAAUUCUACAAUAUUUAAAUAUAAAACCAUCAAUAUUAAUAUAUAUAUUUUUAAAUUAUUUUAUAACCUCAAUUUCAAAAGCAUUCUUAAUCAAACACAUUAAACUACUUUUUCUUCAACCUCAGUUUCAACCACAGUUUUAACUAAACACCUAUUUUUUCAAACCAACCUCAACUAAAAAUACUUUUUAUAAAACAACUUUUUUCAAACCACAACCACAACAGCUACCGCAAUACCAAACACAUAAGUCGUCCAUUUCAAAAAAAUAAUCCAGUACUGUCUGCUUCUGACUAAAGGAUCUUUUUGAAGUUAUCUAGAUAUAGAAUCAAUUUAAAAAUAUUUUUUUUCCACACUAAUUCUGGUAUUGCAACUUGGCAUUAUUUUAAGUUGGAAAUUCUAUCAAUCACUCAACAAUUUGAAAAGAAAAAAAAAGUGUAUAGAAAGCACGGGUUUGUUAUUAUAUAUAUAUAUAUAUAUAUAUAUAUAUAAAAAGCAUUUUAACUAUUUGUUUUUUUAAUUGCUGUUAUUAUUAUUUUCACCUUACAUAUAAAAUUUUAAAAUUUUAAUUGAUCAACAAGUUGUAAAUUUAGAUAGUUUAAUUGGUGAAAUUCUGAAUUUGUUUUUCAGAGAUCAUUAAUUUGAGUGUCACAAAUCUCAUAACCACUAGAAGUUUAUAUUGUCGUUAACUUCAAGGUCUUUAAGGAUUAGUCGAGGUAUACGUAAAUUGAUCCAGACUUUUAUUAUUAAAAAAAAAAAAAAAAACUAGCUGAUGUUCAAAACAGCCCAGGUGUUCCUAUCAUGUUAAUCCAUGUUACACGGCACUUCUUUGUUUUGAGAUGCUGCCACCACAUGCUUGACCUCAAAAAAAACAAAAACCUUCACUUUUUUUUUUCUGUCUUUUGGGGUCUUGACUCAUGGUCAAGAGAUAAAACACGUUCGGAUAUUCUCGAAUAUGCUAACUUUUGAUGGGCGUGUUACACGCUCUUCUUCUCUUAAUUUUAUGAGAGGUAAUAUAUAUUUUCGAAUAAAUUCGGCAAAUAAAGAUUGAAUUAUUUUUGUCAUUCUGCUAAGGUCAGUUAUUGCUAAAACUUUAAGAUUCAUGAGAGCUUUAAUAUCCCAAAAAGGAGAUAUAUCCCUAAAAAUCAGGCUAAUAUUCCCUCGUAUUCAUGUUAAUAAUCCAUUUUGUAUAUCAUGGUUAAUUUGUAGGUUUAAAAGAAGAUUUUUUAAAAAGAAAUUCUUUGAAUGAUUACAUGUCACUAGGAAAUCAAUUAGUUGUUCGGUAAUUUUCUUUGAAUGAUUCCACCAAUAGCAUGUCCUUCCUAAAAUAUAAGGCAACAGACAAAAAUCUAAGAGCUUAUUAGGCUUUUCAUCUAAUUAAAAAAAUUGAAAAUAUUAAUUUGAUGAUAAAGGAGAUUUUUUUUUUAAAAUAGAAUUCAAAUCUUAUAAUCAAUAUUUACAAAGAUUUAUUAAAUUUAUUUGCAUACAUCAUACCGAUAAUAUUUUUAAUUAAAAUUAUCUUGAAAAAAACGUAACUUUUAUAUUCUUCUUUUUAUUAAAUAAAAAAAAAUUAUUAAGAUAAUGACACAUAACAUGGUAGACCAGUGUGAAAAUUAUGAAUGAAAUUAUUGGAUUGGUGGAGUGUUAGUGGUUCUCUUCCUUGCCAUGUGAAUGAUCUAUUACAUCAGUGACCCAACCUAGUGUUUGAAAAAUUCCAGUGUAAGACUUGGCCUAUACUUUCUUGUUUUGUUGUGUUAGCUAAAAUAUAUGGCUCACAAAGAAUAAGAUUAUCUUCAAUAUUGGAACUGCGACUUUUGAAGACAGUUUCUCCUUGAUUUUAUAUCGUCUCUCAAAUUGGCUCAAAUCUGCAGAUAAGUUUUUUAUAGCUACUAGAACUGAUUUAUUUAUGGGGCCUAAAUGUAUUAUAGAUUGGUCUAACAACACCAAAUAAAGAUUUUAAACAUGGCGCAUCAACUCUUUUAGUCCUUAUGCUUGUUUUCUAAUCUUUAUCUGUCAACUUUUUAUUUUUCAUUAUCUGCCUUUUUUUUUUUAUCUGUCAACUUUCUAAUCCUUGAUUAUUCCUUAUGCUACAUUCUACUUAGUCCUUUUAAGAUAUCGAAUUCUUUCGGAAAAAAAAAAAACAGAGAAAGAGAGCAGAUAAUUACAUAAAACUUACUACCUCGCGAUGAAAUCCUAAGAUGAAAUCCAGCAAGAAAAUGUCUUAGUAAUUGAACACAUUGAUCAGGCACGACCAUAUGUAGUCAGCAUCGAUUUAUUCAAGAAAAUCGACUUAGAAUUUGGCAUCUAUGGUAAUAUUCAAAUAGAAAUUUAUUUUUUCUAAUUAAACUUUUUUAGGUUAAAUAAUCAAUUCAACUUAAAAACUUAAAAUAUUAAAUAAAAUUUUAAAAUAUAUUUUAUAUUAUUCUUUAAUAUACUCUUUCAAAUAAAAAAAAUUUUAAGUUUGAAAUUUGUAUAACCUCAUAUUAUUUUGUACUUAAUUUUUAUAAAAAAAAUAAAAUAAUAAGAUUCGAACUCAUAAUUAAUUGGUUAUCAAAGUUUUAAUGUCAUGUUAAAAACUAAUUCAACCAAAAAAUAGAUCCUAUGUAUAAUUUAUAAUACUCUACAUAAAUUAAACCAUUUGAUCGAAUCACUUGCUGCCAAAACAUCCAUACAUUUUCAUCCAAUUAAUGUGAAGCCGACAUUUCUUCAACUUUUCCAAGGGACUUGCUUUGGAGUCCGUCAUUUAACGCUAUUGUUUUGAACAUUACACAGCUGCUAAAUGGAUAGUUCAUAAUAAAAAAAAUAGUAUUUUGAUUUUUUUUUGUUUGUUUUUUAUAUUUCAAAGUAAAAGCCAAACAAAAUACUAAAAUAUCUUUUCUUUUCCAAAAAUAUUAUUCUUACAUAUCUUUUAAAAAAACUAAAAUUAACAAAGUAGGGCCAACAAAAGAAUAAGCCAAUUAAAUAUAGCCACGUGGAAAAAAAAUAACAUCAAAAUUAUUAAAAAAAAUAAAACACUUAUUUAUUCUAAAUUGGCUUUUCAAAUAGCUUUUUUCCAUUGAAGUACUAUACAUGAUAAAAUAAAAACUAUAUUUAUACUAUUUAAAAUACUAUUACAUCAAUUUACCUUUUUAAAAUAGCUUCUCCCAUCAGAAAUAGUGUAACGCCUAUAAAUACCGUUUGAGCUCUCAUUGUUAUUUCAUCCAUCACCUACGAAAUUCUUUUGCGUGAUAAAAAAAGAGAGAGUGUGCAAAAUGAUGUCAAGCAAGAUUUCUCUUGCUUUCUUUACUCUUAUAACCUUAUCCCUAAUCCUUCCCUCUCGUGCCCAAGACAACCCACAAGAUUACCUUGAUGCUCAUAAUGCAGCUCGUGCAGCUGUAGGUGUUGGUCCACUAACCUGGGACACCACAGUGCAAGCCUAUGCACAAAAUUAUGCUAACCAACGUGCCGGCGAUUGCAACCUUGUCCAUUCAGGUGGACCUUAUGGGGAGAACAUUGCAUGGAGCAGCGCGGACCUUUCAGGUACAGAUGCUGUAAAAAUGUGGGUUGAUGAGAAGGCUUACUACGACUACAACUCCAACUCAUGUGCCGCUGGCCAGCAGUGUGGGCACUAUACUCAGGUGGUUUGGCGUAAUUCUGCUCGCCUAGGAUGUGCUAAAGUGAAGUGUAGCACCGGAGGAACCUUCAUUGGGUGCAACUAUGAUCCACCCGGCAACUAUGUUGGGCAAAAACCUUACUAAACCUUUCUGAUUAUGAAAUUAGUGCUUCUAUUACCUGGAAUAUUAGUGAUAAAUAAGCUGAUUUAUAUUGGCAUUAAUUAAUAUAUGAUAGAAAAAUAUUUGCUACAUCUUGAUGAUAUGCUGAUUGCUGGCAUACAGGAAGUUCACGUGGUAUACGUUUGGAUGAUGUUAUAUAUAUAUAUAUAUAUAAAUAUAAUUAGCUUCUUAUAAUUUUAAUUAUAGUCAGAAUGAUCACAACUUAUGUGUUAUAGCAUCCAUUUUCAAUUCAAAUUAUCACUACAAGAUUUAACAGUUUUACCGACGGAAUUUUUUCGUUGGUGUAAGACACAUAUUCCAUCGGUAAUUAUAUUACCGACGGAAUCACAGAUGGAACAUACGCGUCGGUAAUAAUAUUUUUUAUUACCAACGGAAUUACCGAGGGAUAUACCGACGGAAUUACCGACGGAAAUUUCGUCGGUAAUUAUAUAAAAACAUUUUUAAAAAAAUUAUUUUAUAAAAUUAUAAAAUAAUUAAAUUAACAUAAAUCAACACUCUAUAAUAUAUACUCAAAAUGCUUGGAAAAAAGAAUAAGAAAAUCAACUCAAACAAAUUUGUAACAAAUAAAUAAAACAAAAAAAUAAAUUCAACUAAAAAAAUUCAUAUGAAAAAAAUAAAGUUACAAUUGCUAAAAAUUUAAAAAUCCCUAUAAAUAAAUCAACUAAAAAUUGAUCUCAUAUGAAAAAAAAAAUCUCACAACAACAUUUAUACAAUUAUUAAGAACACAAAAAAUUAAAAAUAAAAUAAAAUAACAAAUAUAGUGAAAAAUAUCAUGAAAAAAGAAGGAAAAAAAAAAUCUUACCUUAAUGUAGUUGCAAGUGAAGCUAAGGAGAGAAAAAUAAAUCGUAAAGCAUAUUAAUUAAAAAAAAGUAAGAAGAUAAAAGAAGAAAGAAGAAGAAGACAUACCCCGAGCAUAGAGGGAAAGAGAAGGAGAUGAGGAGAGAAAAGAAGAGAAAGAAAUAGAUAUUGAUGUUUUUUACAUAUAGUGAAGAAGAAGAAGAAGAAGAAAAGUAGUAGAAGAAGAAUAAUAAGAAAUGAGUUUAUCUCUUAUGAAAUAAGGGGAUCCAGACUUUUUAUUGAGGCGUGUUAGCGACGGAUUUACCGACAGAUAAUUGAAUAUUAAUAUUUUUUAAUUAUUCCGUCGGUAAUUCCAUCGGUAAUAUUUAAUUUAAAUUUUCAAUUUCAUAAAAAGUUUUCAGAAACCGCCAACAAUUACCGAUAAUUUUUCAAUCCGUCAGUGAUUCCGUCUGUAAUAUUAUACUUCAAUUCAUGUGUUGGGAAAUAAAGAAUAAUUCAUUAAUUAGCGAUUGUUUGUCUCUCGUUGUCUUGGCUGUAAUCAUCCCUUUAGCUAGCUCAAGCUCAAAACUACUCUAAACAAGACUUCCUCAAUGCUCACAACAACGCUCGAGCACAGGGUGGGUGUUGGACCUUUGGGAUGGAAUUAAAAUUAGCAAAAUUUGAAAAACCAUGAAAGUAAAAAAAAAAAAAAAAUCUUGAAACAUAAAAUAUUAAAUCAUACCAGUCGCAAACAAAUUACUAAUCAGCUCAUACCACUAGUGUUAUUUAAUGAUACAAUUCAAUACAUGCAAGUCAAUAUCUAGUAUUAAUACCUUAAAAAUAAUUAGAAAAAUAAUAUUAAUGGAUAUAUGAUAUUUUUUUCUCUAAUUUGGAUAUGAUUUUUUGAGGUAUUACAAUAAAUUUAAAGAGAAUUCAAAAAAACAUGUAAAAAAUUAUGGGUUGAGUCGGAUAGGUACUUGGACUGAUAAAAAAAACCUUUCAUCCUAUUUGAUCCGACUUGAGCGGGUGUGGAUCCAAUGCAAAUGAUGGUUAUAGGAAUACCGAGUUGGAUGCAGGUGCAAAACAACUCGACUCGGUCCAUUACCAUCCUAUUGGUUCUCUGCUUUUCUUGUCAUCAUCCAUUGGGUUAGUAGGUGCAAUCCAAGAUGCUACCUCAGUAAGAAUAGACUCAACUAUUCUUACACAUAUAAAUGUAUUUUAAAUAUAUUAUUAUAUGAAUUUAUCCAUCAUCUAAGAUUAUGGAUCAGACUUAAUUUUUUACAUAUCAUUUUAUAGAAGCAUUAUUAAAAAUUUAUUUACAAUGAUGAAUUAAUGACUAUAUGUUAACAAAAUUCGCAUUCUAAAUUCAAAAAUACAAUUAGUUUGGUUCAUAAUCUUUUAUAUAUAUUGCUCUCAAUUAAGCUCGUUGCUAUUUUGAUCCUUUCUCUCUCUCCACACACACACACGUAUAGAGUAAUUUUCUCUCCCUUCCUGAUUUCCCUUUCUUUUCUUUCUUUUCUUUCUUCUUCUUCUUUUCCUUUGGAUACGAUGAGGUUUUUAUUUAAGCGGUCUACAUAAGUGAAGUUUUUAUAUUUAAUUUUUUCAGAUAUCGAUGCCAUAUAAUUAAUUUGUUAGUUAAGGUAAUUCACAUCUUAUGCCAUCUCUUGCUGUAACCAUUCAUUUAGAACAAAAUAUAUUAAAGGGGCUGUUUUUUAAAGUAUAUUUUAUUUAUAAAUAUAUUAAAAUAAUAUUUUUAUAGUCUUUUAAUAAUUAUUUUUUAUAUCAGCAUAUCAAAAUAAUUAAAAACUAUAAAAACAAUUAAUUUUAAAUAAAAAAAAAUGAUUUCAAUUUAAAAAAACUCAAUUUGAAAUGUAAUUUUAAACAACAUAAGGGCCAUUUUUAGAAAAAUAAGUUGGAAUGGUGUAUUCAAAAUGAAGAUCAGAUAUCUUUCUUAAUAAAAACACUUUUAAUGAUGAUUUUAUCUAUUAAUAAUUUAAUCCAAAUCUACUUCCCAAAUUGGUGUCUCGAAAAUUGUUGCAUCGUAUGGGGUGGAUUCCCCUCACACAGAGAACUCGCUCAUCCAAAUGCUAAUAAUAAUAAUAAUAAAAAACUCUUGGGAAAUUGACUGAUAAAUAUGAAUCUUUGUUUAUGAUGUGCGCAAACUGAUCCAAACAUCCACAUUAAAUUAAAAAAAAAAACUAGUUGAAGUGUAUAGACAAAUUGGUAAUCAAUAGAUGGCUGGAAAAAUGGAAAACCAUUUUGAAAAUCGUAAUCCUAUGAUAUAAAUACUAUAUUAUAAUAAGAUGAAUAAAAUCAGAUAUGCAUACAAAAAUGAUUGAGGAUUUAAUAACUUUACUAUUAUAUGUGAAUUCACAGUUUGCUUUGUGCCCAUGAUUAAGAAGAACAAAGAAAAAAAACGAAGGAAAGAAGUUGCUCUGUGCCUGGAAUGGAGACGGCUAGGUUACAAGUAGUCAUUUGCGUUCAUGUCUCCCUGGCCCAGGCUUCUGCCGAUGAUUUUGUUAAAGCCCAUAACGAAAUUCGUGUACAGGUUGGGGAUGUCCCGAUUUCUUGGAACAAAAACAUUGGCAGCCGGAGCCUGUUUGGGCAAGGGAACUUGCUAUACCAAGGAUCUCCUGCUGCAAUUUAAUCGAAGACAUGUUCACUGAAGGCCUCUUAUCCUUUGACUGCGUCUGAAGCUGUUGGGUUGUGGUGCCAGCGAGAAACCUUCCUAGGAUUAUUUUGCCUAGUCAAAAAUUUUACAUGAGUUUUUUUUUUUAAAUUGGAUUUUAAAUAUUCAUAGCAAGCUAUCUAAUGCAUAAAUUUAUUAACGGGAGAGAUUUUCACUGUAUAUUUUUUACUGUGCAAAAUUUUAUUUUAUUUUUUUUCAAUUUAAUCCUUAAACUUUGUUUUUUGCAAUCAAGUCAAAGAGCAAUUAAUUUCAAAUUCUUAUGAAAAGGUGAGAUUGAAAGGGGGAGGACUGAAAUUAAAAAUACGGCAAACAUAGGUGACGUAUCACAAGUUUAAAAAACAUUUACUUUGGUCCUCCAACUUAAAUAAUCACGCAAAUUAUACAAUUACAGUUCAUUGAAAUUGUUCCAAUUCCAUUUUGGUACAUAGAUUUAUUUUUAUUAAUUUUUAUCCUUAGUCGAGAGAGGAGAGAGAGAGGGGUCGCCGGACCCCGUUAAUAGAGAGGGAAAAACUUGUCAUCGGCACCGAUUUAGACCAUAAAAAUAAAAGAUUUUUACGUCAAAUUGUUUUAUUUGAAACGGAGAAUUUAUAUUAAGUGUUUUUAUAUCUUAAAAGUUCUUGAAAAAAUAUAUCUGAAUUCAAAUUAAAGACAAUAGAAAGUGAUGACAUGUAUCGAGGUUUACUCUUAUGCAAUUAAUUUCUAGAAUAUCCAUGCAUCUGAAUUUUGUAUCUUUAUACUCUUAUAACUAAUAUUUAUUAGUGAGACGUAAUGUUUUAUAUGCUUUUUAAGAAUUUUUCAUUCUUAUAUGUGUUCUUGAAUAUAAAUAUUUUUUUCUCGUGUGUGUAUAUAUAUUUUUAUCUUUAGCACUAAAAUAUCUUUAAAACUAUAUAUUAAUUUUUUUUCUAACACUUAAAAAACAUCAAUGAUAAAAAAAACUUCACAAAAUUUAAAAAAUCAAUAAAGUAGAGAAAAAAAACUAGAAACAUAUUGUAACAUCCCAAGAAACUAUAAUAAAUCAUGAAAAUAUAUAGACAGAACACGUAGGAACUAAGAUAAGAUUCAUUGUCAGAUUUAAUAAUUUUAUGUAUGAAAAUUUUUGUCAUUGUUUAUACUUACAGUUUUACAUUGAAGAAUUCUAUCGAUAUUUCGGUUUAUAUUUAUUAAUUUUAUAACCGUGGUUGUUUGUAGAAUUCAAGACAAACAAGAUAUGUACUAAUUGAAAUACAAAGUACAAACCUAUUAAUAAGAAAUUUUUGUAUGGUAGUUGCAUUUUGUUAAUCACUUCGUAGUUUAUUUUGAAAAACAAAAUAUAAAAGAACAAGAAAAUAAAAUUUAUUAUUCAUAAAAAAAAUGAUAAAAACAUCUAGAUUUCUUUCUCCACUUAUAUUUUUUUUAUAAUUUUAAAAUGAAUCCUAAAAAGUAACUACUCUAAUUACUAUAAAAAAAAUUUGAAGGGUUUUAAAAAGAUUAUUUGAUCAGUUUUUGCUCGAUUCUAGCAUGUUCCGCAAUUGACGAUUAGCCAAGGGAGAUAUAGUGUUUUUUUUUACAGACUAUCCGGGUGCAUCACUUUACACGAAAAGGAAACAGAAUAGUCAAGAGUCUAAGUCGUCCAUUUCAAAAAAAAUAAUCAAGUACUGUCUGCUUUCUGACUAAAGGAUCUUUUUGAAGUUAUCUAGAUAUAGAAUAAAUUUCAAAAUAAUUUUUUUCUACACUAAUUCUGGUAUUGCAACUCGGCAUUAUAUUAAGUUGGAAAUUCUAUCAAUCACUCAACAAUUUGAAAAAAAAACAAAGUUUAUAGAAAGCACGGGUUUGUUAUCAUAAAAAAAAAAAACUAGCAUUUUAACUAUUUCUUUUUUUAAUUAAUAACCAACUUUCUGUUAUAAUUAUUUUCACCUUACAUAUAAGCUUUUAAUUGAUUAGACUCAACCAGUUGUAAAUUUAGUAUAGUUUAAUUGGUCAGAUUCUGAAUUUAAUUUUUAGAAAUUAUUAAUUUAAGUGAUACAAAUCUCAGGACCACUAUAGAUUUACAUCGUUAACUUCAGGAUCUUAAAAAUUUAGUUAAAGUAUACGUAAACGAGUUCGAACACCACCGUUACAAAAAAAAAAAAAAAAACUAGCUGAUGUUCAAAACAGCCCAGGUGUUCCUAUCAUGUUAAUCCAUGUUACACGGCACUUCUUUGUUUUGAGAGGCUGCCAACACAUGCUUGGCCUCAAAAAAAACAAAAACCUUCACUUUUUUUCUGUCUUUUGGGGUCUUGACUCAUGGUCAAGAGAUAAAACACGUUCGGAUAUUCUCGAAUAUGCUAACUUUUGAUGGGCGUGUUACACGCUCUUCUUCUCUUAAUUUUAUGAGAGGUAAUAUAUAUUUUCGAAUAAAUUCGGCAAACAAAGAUUGAAUUAUUUUUUUCAUUCUGCUAAGGUCAGUUAUUGCUAAAACUUUAAGAUUCAUGAGAGCUUUAAUAUCCCAAAAAGGAGAUAUAUCCCUAAAAAUCAGGCUAAUAUUCCCACGUAUUCAUGUUAAUCCAUUUUGUAUAUCAUGGUUAAUUUGUAGGUUUAAAAGAAGAUUUUUUUAAAAAAAAAUUCUUUGAAUGAUUACAUGUCACUAGGAAAAUCAAUUAGUUGUUCGGUAAUUUCUCAAGAGAAAACAAGAAAAGGUGUCAUGUUUUAGACGCAACAAUGGAAGCGGCGUGAUUUGUGGAACAAAAACUUGCUAGGACAAGAACAAGAUUAGUGCAAGCAGGCGGUAAGAAAGAAGAAAAACAUAGGAAAUUCAAAAUGCCAUAUAAUAAUUCAAACUGAAGUAAUCCCAGACCUCCCACUCAUCUAAAAAUUAAUUAAUCAGUCCGAGUUUUGAUUCAACUGAACAUACACCAAUACCAUGUCCUCCCUAAAAUAUAAAGCAACAGACAAAAAUCUAAGAGCUUAUUAGGUUUUCAUCUAAUUAAAAAAAUUGAAAAUAUUAAUUUGAUGAUCAAGGAGAUUUUUUUAAAAAAAAAUUGAAUUCAAAUCUUAUAAUCAAUAUUUACAAAGAUUUAUUAAAUUUAUCUGCAUACAUGCAUCAUACGAUAAUAUUUUUAAUUAAAUUAUUUUGAAAAAAACAUAACUUUUAUAUUAUCCUUUUCAUUAAAUAAAAAAAAAUAUUAAGAUAAUUACACAUAACAUGGUAGACCGGUGUGAAAAUUAUGAAUGAAAUUAUUGGAUUGGUGGAGUGUUAGUGGUUCUUUUCCCUGCUAUGUGGAUGAUCUAUUACAUCAGUGACCUAACCUAGUGUUUGAAAAAUUUAAGUGUUAGACUUGGUCUAUAUUUUCUUGUUGUGUUAGCUAAAGUAUAUGGCUUACGAAGAACAAUGUUAUCUUCAAUGUUGGAACUGCGAUCUUUGAAGACAGUUUCUCCUUGAUUUUAUAUCGUCUCUCGAAUGAACUCAAAUCUGCAGAUAAGUUUUUCAUAGCUACUAGAACUGAUUUAUUUAUGGGGUCUAAAUGUAUUAUAGAUUGGUCUAACAACAUCAAAUGAAGGCUUUAAACAUGACACAUCAACUCUUUCAGUCCUUAUACUUUUUUUCUAAUCUAUAUCUGUUGGCUUUUUAUUUUUUAUUAUCUGCUUUUUGUUUUUAGAUUAUUCUGUUUUGUUUUUGUUUUUUUUUUAUCUCUUGCUUUUGGCUAGUUCCUUUAAUAUAUCGAAUUCUUUCAAAAAAAAAAAAAAAGAUAAUUACAUAAAACUUACUACCUCGCGAUGAAAUCCUAAGUUGAAAUCUAGCAAAAAAAUGUCUUAGUAAUUGAACACAUUGAUCAGGCACGACAUAUCUGGUCAGCAUCGAUUUAUUCAAGAAAAUCAACUUAGAAUUUGGCAUCUGGUAAAUUCAAAUAGAUAUUUAUUUUUUUCUAAUUAAACUUCAUUAUAUCAAAUAACCAAUUUAUAACCAAUUUAAUUUAAAAGCUCAAGAUACUAAAUAAAAUUCUAAAAUAUAAUUUAUAUUAUUUUUUAAUACACUUUUUCAAAUAAAAAAAUUUUUGAUCUUGAAAUUUAUAUAACUUUAUACUAUCUUGUGUUUAAUUUUUAUUAAAUAAAUAAAAUAAUGAGAUUUAAAGUCAUAAUCGCUUAGUUAUCAAGAUUUUAAUGUAAAGUAAAAUUUAAUUCAACCCAAAAAUUUAAUAUAUAAUUUAUAAUAUUCUACAUAAAUUAAACCGUUUGAUCGAAUCACUUGCUGCCAAAACAUCCAUACAUUUUCAUCCAAUUAAAGUGAAGCCGACAACUUCUACUUUUCCAAGGGACUUGCUUUGGAGCCCGUCAUUUAACGCUAUUGUUUUGAACAUUCUACGCAGACAAUCGAUCCAAGCAUUUAACGCUAUUGUUUUGAACAUUCUACGCAGACUUCGCUUGCAUACUUCCAAAUCAUCGUUCACAUAAUGUUGCAGAACGCCUAUAAAUACCGUUUGAGCUCUCAUUGUUAUUUCAUCCAUCACCUACGAAAUUCUUUUGCAAGAUAAAAAAAGAGAAAUUAAGUGUGCAAAAUGAUGUCAAGCAAGAUUUCUCUUGCUUUCUUUACUCUUAUAACCUUAUCCCUAAUCCUUCCCUCUCGUGCCCAAGACAACCCACAAGAUUACCUUGAUGCUCAUAAUGCAGCUCGUGCAGCUGUAGGUGUUGGUCCACUAACCUGGGACACCACAGUGCAAGCCUAUGCACAAAAUUAUGCUAACCAACGUGCCGGCGAUUGCAACCUUAUCCAUUCAGGUGGACCUUAUGGGGAGAACCUUGCAUGGAGCAGCGCGGACCUUUCAGGUACAGAUGCUGUCAAAAUGUGGGUUGAUGAGAAGGCUUACUACGACUACAACUCCAACUCAUGUGCCGCUGGCCAGCAGUGUGGGCACUAUACUCAGGUGGUUUGGCGGAACUCUGCUCGCCUAGGAUGUGCUAAAGUGAAGUGUAGCACCGGAGGAACCUUCAUUGGGUGCAACUAUGAUCCACCCGGCAACUAUGUUGGGCAAAAACCUUACUAAACCUUUCUGAUUAUGAAAUUAGUGCUUCUAUUACCUGGAAUACUAGUGAUAAAUAAGCUGAUUUAUAUUGGCAUUAAUUAAUAAAUGAUAGAAAAAUAUUUGCUACACUUGAUGAUAUGCUGGCAUACAGGAAGUUCACGUGGUAUACGUUUGGAUGAU